GUGACUGCUAUUCCACAACCCUUCAAGAUCCUUAACAAGUUGUUCUCUACCAACGGAGUGAAUGAUCUUGUUCACUUAGCUUUUAUUCCUACUGAUGUUGAGAUAGAUGAAGCACCAAAUCCUUCAGUUGUGGCUGCUGAAACAGGAAACUCUUGGAACUUUUGAGGAGUGAGCUGGACUCUUUAUCAGUAGAGAUGCAGAGACUUGCAGCGAAAAAGGCUAAACUUGCUGAGAUUAUUUGCAAUCUAGAGAAGACACCCUGGUAGGGAAGUUGAUUUGGCCUUUUGAUAAAAAAAAGGGG
This 301-nucleotide long non-coding RNA is filed under the name Gossypium raimondii (Peruvian cotton). RNAcentral describes it as "long non-coding RNA (GRAI_LNC007977)". The record is from RNAcentral. Lineage: Eukaryota; Viridiplantae; Streptophyta; Magnoliopsida; Malvales; Malvaceae.